RNAcentral lists this ribosomal RNA (2898 nucleotides) under Lactococcus garvieae. RNAcentral describes it as "bacterial LSU rRNA". It matches the Rfam family "Bacterial large subunit ribosomal RNA". RNAcentral also lists the same sequence under 1 other name. Lineage: Bacteria; Bacillati; Bacillota; Bacilli; Lactobacillales; Streptococcaceae. The record is from RNAcentral.
CAAAGUUAAUAAGGGCGCACGGUGGAUGCCUUGGCAUUAAGAGCCGAUGAAGGACGUGACUAACGACGAUAUUCUAGGGGGAGCAGUAAGUACGCAUUGAUCCCUAGGUCUCCGAAUGGGGAAACCCACUAUGUUAUGCAUAGUAUCCGUAAGUGAAUACAUAGCUUACGCGAAGGUAACGCAGAGAACUGAAACAUCUAAGUACCUGCAGGAAGAGAAAGUAAAAACGAUUUCCUAAGUAGCGGCGAGCGAACGGGAAACAGGCCAAACCAAGAAGCUUGCUUCUUGGGGUUGUAGGACUGCAACGUGGACUUAAAGUCUAUAGAAGAAUUACCUGGGAAGGUAAGCCAAAGAGAGUAAUAGCCUCGUAUUUGAAAUAGACUUUAUACCUAGCAGUAUCCUGAGUAGGGCUGGACACGCGAAAUCCAGUUUGAAUCCGGGAGGACCAUCUCCCAAGCCUAAAUACUCCUUAAUGACCGAUAGUGAACCAGUACCGUGAGGGAAAGGUGAAAAGAACCCCGGGAGGGGAGUGAAAUAGCACCUGAAACCGUGUGCCUACAAGAAGUUCGAGCCCGUCAAUGGGUGAGAGCGUGCCUUUUGUAGAAUGAACCGGCGAGUUACGUUAUGAUGCGAGGUUAAGCUGAAGAGGCGGAGCCGUAGCGAAAGCGAGUCUGAAUAGGGCGCUUUAGUAUCAUGAUGUAGACCCGAAACCUAGUGACCUAUCCAUGAGCAGGUUGAAGGUGCGGUAAGACGCACUGGAGGACCGAACCAGGACACGUUGAAAAGUGUUUGGAUGACUUGUGGAUAGCGGAGAAAUUCCAAACGAACUGGGAGAUAGCUGGUUCUCUCCGAAAUAGCUUUAGGGCUAGCGUCGCAAUUUAAGUGUAUUGGAGGUAGAGCACUGUUUGGAUGAGGGGCCCAUCUCGGGUUACCAAUUUCAGAUAAACUCCGAAUGCUAAUACACAUGUGCGGCAGUCAGACUGCGAGUGCUAAGAUCCGUAGUCGAAAGGGAAACAGCCCAGACCACCAGCUAAGGUCCCAAAAUAUAUGUUAAGUGGAAAAGGAUGUGGGGUUGCACAGACAACUAGGAUGUUAGCUCAGAAGCAGCUAUCAUUCAAAGAGUGCGUAAUAGCUCACUAGUCGAGUGACCCUGCGCCGAAAAUGUACCGGGGCUAAACAUAUUACCGAAGCUGUGGAUUUAAUAUUAAUUAAAUGGUAGGAGAGCGUUGUAAUCAGCGAUGAAGGUAUACCGUGAGGGGUGCUGGAGCGAUUACAAGUGAGAAUGCCGGUAUGAGUAGCGCAAGAUAAGUGAGAAUCUUAUCCACCGUAAGACUAAGGUUUCCAGGGGAAGGCUCGUCCGCCCUGGGUUAGUCGGGACCUAAGGCGAGGCCGAAAGGCGUAGUCGAUGGACAACAGGUUGAUAUUCCUGUACUAGUAUUGUUAGUGAUGGAGGGACGCAGUAGGCUAAAGGGAGCCAGUUAAUGGAUUCUGGUCUAAGCAGUGAGGUGUGGAAUGUGUCAAAUGCAUUUUCCUUUAACAUUGAGCUGUGAUGGGGAAGCAACUACGGUUGCGAAGCCCUUGAUGUCACACUGCCAAGAAAAUCUUCUAGCGUUUAAUUCAAUACUACCCGUACCGCAAACCGACACAGGUAGUCGAGGCGAGUAGCCUCAGGUGAUCGAGAGAACUCUCGUUAAGGAACUCGGCAAAAUGACCCCGUAACUUCGGGAGAAGGGGUGCUGUAGAAAUACAGCCGCAGUGAAAAGAUCCAAGCAACUGUUUAUCAAAAACACAGCUCUCUGCUAAACCGCAAGGUGAUGUAUAGGGGGUGACGCCUGCCCGGUGCUGGAAGGUUAAGAGGAGGGGUUAGCUUAGGCGAAGCUCUGAAUUGAAGCCCCAGUAAACGGCGGCCGUAACUAUAACGGUCCUAAGGUAGCGAAAUUCCUUGUCGGGUAAGUUCCGACCCGCACGAAAGGCGUAAUGAUUUGGAUACUGUCUCAACGAGAGACUCGGUGAAAUUUUAGUACCUGUGAAGAUGCAGGUUACCCGCGACAGGACGGAAAGACCCCAUGGAGCUUUACUGCAGAUUGAUAUUGAGUACCUGUGAAGCAUGUACAGGAUAGGUAGGAGACUUUGACCUUGGGACGCUAGUUUCAAGUGAGUCGCUGUUGGGAUACUACCCUUGCUUCAUGGUUGCUCUAACCCACACGCAUAAUCGGCGUGGGAGACAGUGUCUGUCGGGCAGUUUGACUGGGGCGGUCGCCUCCUAAAGAGUAACGGAGGCGCCCAAAGGUUCCCUCAACAUGGUUGGAAAUCAUGUGUAGAGUGUAAAGGUAUAAGGGAGCUUGACUGCGAGAGCUACAACUCGAGCAGGUAGGAAACUAGGGCUUAGUGAUCCGGUGGUACCGCAUGGAAGGGCCAUCGCUCAACGGAUAAAAGCUACCCUGGGGAUAACAGGCUUAUCUCCCCCAAGAGUUCACAUCGACGGGGAGGUUUGGCACCUCGAUGUCGGCUCGUCGCAUCCUGGGGCUGUAGUCGGUCCCAAGGGUUGGGCUGUUCGCCCAUUAAAGCGGCACGCGAGCUGGGUUCAGAACGUCGUGAGACAGUUCGGUCCCUAUCCGUCGCGGGCGUAGGAAAUUUGAGAGGAUCUGCCCUUAGUACGAGAGGACCGGGGUGGACUUACCGCUGGUGUACCAGUUGUUCCGCCAGGAGCACCGCUGGGUAGCUAUGUAGGGAAGGGAUAAGCGCUGAAAGCAUCUAAGUGCGAAGCCCACCUCAAGAUGAGAUUUCCCAUUCUUUAUGAAUUAAGAGCCCUGAGAGAUGAUCAGGUUGAUAGGCUGGAAGUGGAAGUCCUGCGAGGGAUGGAGCGGACCAGUACUAAUAGCUCGAGGACUUUACCAA